UACGUAGGGUGCAAGCGUUAAUCGGAAUUACUGGGCGUAAAGCGUGCGCAGGCGGUGAUGUAAGACAGGUGUGAAAUCCCCGGGCUUAACCUGGGAACUGCAUUUGUGACUGCAUCGCUGGAGUGCGGCAGAGGGGGAUGGAAUUCCGCGUGUAGCAGUGAAAUGCGUAGAGAUGUGGAGGAACACCGAUGGCGAAGGCAGCCUCCUGGGCCAGCACUGACGCUCAUGCACGAAAGCGUGGGGAGCAAACAGG
RNAcentral lists this ribosomal RNA (253 nucleotides) under uncultured bacterium. Its description in RNAcentral is "partial 16S ribosomal RNA". It matches the Rfam family "Bacterial small subunit ribosomal RNA", at positions 524 to 776 of the family's 1533-position model. The record is from RNAcentral.